Molecule: RNA transcript, 5199 nt
Organism: Nomascus leucogenys (northern white-cheeked gibbon)
Lineage: Eukaryota; Metazoa; Chordata; Mammalia; Primates; Hylobatidae
Gene: ATOSA
Gene name: family with sequence similarity 214 member A
Exons: 12
Source: RefSeq, a predicted model, not a curated record
UCCCAAACAACUUUGUAAGCUGGGGAGGGAUUUUUGCUGUUAAAGUUUGUGGAGACAGUAUGAACUGGUAAACUGAAGCCCAGUACUUGAAACCUGAAAAAGUCUAUACUUUUAUAUCUCUGAGUAAUUUUAUGAUAACAAAAAGUAAAUGAAUUUAAGUUAAAUGUCAUUGUUCUAUGUAUCCAGAGACAUUUUACCAUAAAUACCUAGUUAAAUCUUGUAUUGUCAGAGAUUACUAAGUAACUGAUAAUUUUUCCUUUCUGAAUCUUUUUCUAGUCAGUCUGGUAACCUGUUUCUUUAGCUCUCUUAAAAGGUACUGCAUGCAUUUGAGGAGAGACCAUUUCAGGAUCUAUCCCAUUUUAAAUAUGUAACAGGUUGUGCUUUUCUAGGAAUUUGUGAAGUUUGUUGUAAAAUACUUUAUAUAAAGUUCCAGGUAUAUGAAGGUUGAUGCUUUAUUCUGAUUGUUGUAAAUUUUUGUAUUUACACAUUUUCAGAGAGUUUCACUUGGUAGAACCUGAUUUAAUUUAGAUGUGAAGUAAUUGAUUCCCUCCACAACCCUUCUUUGUCUUCAGUUUUAUGUGAAUCACUAACUGAAAUAAAUUUUUGUCUUACGUCUCUGUUUUAAAAGCAACUAAAGAAACACAUUUUAGGGGCUAACGCUAGAAUACUUUGCCAUUAUCAGUCUACUGUUCUUUCCUUUCAAGUUGCCUAAACACAGCUGAGUUUGUAAGACGAGCAAAGAAAACAUGACAGUGCUGCCAAGUAGACAGGAAGCUGUAGUGGACCUAACGAGCAGGGGAGGUUGAGCACACCCUCUGUCCAAUCAGCUGUGAGUGCUGUUGCUAUGUGCGCUCUUACUCUGCUGCCUUUGUGAAAAACCUUACACGGAGGGAAGCGGAAUCAGCACCCAACGCUGAACAUUUGUUUUAACCGCUGCAGACAUCUGGAUCCCUCAGUUACUGAUAGUAUAGCUAUUGAUAGCCAGAAGGCAACUUCUUUUAUACAAGGAUUCCAGUAUGGUUUUCAGUGGAAACAAAGGGCUUCACAGAGAAGAUACUCUGGAUGAAUAUUUUGAAUAUGAUGCAGAGGAGUUCUUGGUCUCUUUGGCCUUGCUGAUAACAGAAGGACGAACACCUGAAUGUUCUGUAAAAGGUCGAACAGAAAGCUUUCAUUGCCCUCCAGCACAGUCUUGUUACCCUGUAACUACCAAACAUGAAUGUAGUGACAAGCUGGCCCAGUGCCGCCAAGCCAGACGAACUAGGUCUGAGGUCACAUUGUUGUGGAAGAAUAACCUUCCAAUCAUGGUGGAAAUGAUGCUACUGCCAGACUGCUGCUACAGCGAUGAUGGGCCCACCACAGAGGGAAUUGAUCUAAAUGAUCCUGCAAUUAAGCAAGAUGCAUUAUUAUUAGAAAGAUGGAUCUUGGAGCCAGUUCCUCGACAGAAUGGUGACCGAUUUAUUGAAGAGAAGACGCUUCUGUUGGCUGUCCGCUCAUUUGUGUUUUUUUCUCAAUUAAGUGCAUGGCUGAGUGUUUCUCAUGGUGCUAUUCCACGAAAUAUUCUCUACAGAAUCAGUGCUGCUGAUGUAGACCUACAGUGGAAUUUUUCACAGACUCCAAUUGAGCAUGUGUUUCCUGUUCCCAAUGUUUCUCACAAUGUUGCCUUGAAAGUCAGUGUUCAGUCCUUGCCCAGACAAUCUAAUUAUCCAGUUUUGACCUGCAGUAUUCACACUAAUAUUGGCCUUUAUGAGAAAAGAAUUCAACAACAUAAACUUAAAACUCAUCAGCACCAUAAUCCAAAUGAAGUAGAACAAUGUGGUACAAACAGUUCACAGCGUCUGUGUAGCAAACAAACUUGGACCAUGGCACCUGAAAGUGUAUUACAUGCAAAAAGUGGCCCAAGUCCAGAAUAUACUGCAGCUGUCAAAAAUGUCAAACUGUAUCCAGGCACUGGCAGUAAAUCUGACCAUGGGACAUCUCAAGCCAAUAUUCUAGGCUUUAGUGGUAUAGGCGAUAUAAAAUCACAUGAAACAUCAGUGAGAACUUUAAAAUCAUUUUCAAUGGUUGAUUCCAGUAUCUCUAACCGCCAGAGUUUCUGGCAGUCAGCUGGUGAAACUAACCCUUUAAUAGGCUCUUUAAUUCAGGAGCGGCAAGACAUCAUUGCAAGAAUUGCCCAGCAUUUGAUUCAUUGUGAUCCCAGCACUUCACAUGUUUCUGGACAUCCAUUUAAUACUCGAGAGUCUAGUUCACUCCAUUCAAAACUUUUCGGGGUUUCACAAGAAAAUGAGAAUGUGGGAAAAGGUAAAGAAACUUUCUCCAUGACUUAUGGUAGUCCAGAGUUUACUUCCCCAGAAGACACCAAUGAGGGGAAAAUUCGACUAAAACCAGAAACUCCUCGAAGUGAAACUUGUAUUUCUAAUGACUUUUAUUCUCAUAUGCCUGUUGGAGAGAUUAAUCCUUUGAUAGGCUCUUUACUCCAGGAGCGGCAAGAUGUUAUUGCAAGGAUUGCUCAACACUUGGAGCACAUUGAUCCAACAGCAUCACAUAUCCCCCGGCAGUCAUUCAACAUGCAUGACUCCAGUGCGGUUGCAUCUAAAGUGUUUAGGAGUUCAUAUGAAGACAAAAAUUUGUUGAAGAAAAAUAAGGAUGAGUCCUCAGUUUCCAUUUCUCACACAAAAUGUUCCUUGUUAGGAGACACCAGUGAUGGGAAAAACUUAAUACCUAAUAAAUGUUUUACUUCUUUUAAAAAUAAUAGUAACGAAAAGUGUUCUUUGAAACGUCAAACAAGAAAUCAGUGUCAGAACAAUCCUAGUGAAAUCAUCCAAAGUACGUAUCAGGAGACACAGAACAAAAGUUCUAGUUUAUCGACUUCCUCAAUUUUGUCUCAGCACAAAGAAAAUUACUUAGAUUUGACAAGCAGAUUUAAGGAGCAAGAAAUGAGCAAUGGAAUUGAUAAACAGUAUUCAAAUUGCACCAGUAUUGACAAACAGAUAAUUUGUACAAAUAAGUAUAAGGAAAAAAUAAUAAAUGAGAACUAUAAUCCAAAAUUCUUUGGCAAUCUUCAAUCUGAUCAUUCAAAAAAAAAUGACUCAAAAAUAAAAGUUACUGUGUUGGAAAUGUCUGAAUAUUUGAACAAAUAUGAAAGCAUGUCCUCAAAUAAAGACUCAAAAAGGCCUAAGACAUGUGAGCAAAAUACUCAACUUAAUAGCAUAGAGAAUUAUCUCAAUAAAGAUAAUGAAGGUUUCAAAUGUAAAAAGUCAGACCAAUUAAAAAAUGAACAGGAUAAGAAAGAAGAUCCAACUAAUGAAAAAUCCCAAAACUAUUCUCAGAGAAGAAGUAUAAAAGACUGUUUGUCUACAUGUGAGCAACCAAAAAAUACAGAGGUACUGAGGACUACACUGAAACAUUCAAAUGUGUGGCGAAAACAUAAUUUUCAUUCCUUGGAUGGAACUUCAACUAGAGCCUUUCAUCCUCAAACUGGAUUGCCUCUUCUUUCAAGCCCUGUUCCUCAAAGAAAAACACAAUCAGGUUGCUUUGAUCUGGAUUCUUCAUUACUACAUCUGAAAAGCUUCUCAUCUAGAAGUCCUCGACCAUGUUUAAACAUUGAAGAUGAUCCAGAUAUUCAUGAAAAACCAUUUUUGAGUUCUAGUGCUCCACCUAUAACAAGUCUUAGUCUCCUAGGAAAUUUUGAGGAAUCUGUCUUGAACUAUCGUUUCGAUCCUCUCGGCAUUGUUGAUGGUUUUACUGCCGAGGUAGGGGCAAGCGGUGCUUUCUGCCCCACACAUUUGACUCUUCCAGUUGAAGUGUCAUUCUACAGUGUUUCAGAUGACAAUGCUCCCUCUCCUUAUAUGGGUGUGAUUACUUUAGAGUCCCUUGGUAAAAGGGGUUAUCGAGUACCUCCUUCAGGAACAAUACAAGUGGUAUGUGUUUUAUAGCCUACAAUUGCAAUAAUCAUUCUCUCACAUACAUAUAGAACUUAGCCCUUUCUCCUGCUACUGCUGCUGCAACAACUUUGACCUUAUUUAAUCCUAAUAAGACUGUGGUGAAGAUGUUUGUUGUGAUAUAUGAUUUACGAGAUAUGCCAGCCAAUCAUCAGACAUUCCUACGACAAAGAACUUUUUCUGUACCUGUUAAACAAGAAGUGAAGAGAAGUGUUAAUAGAGAGAACAUCCGACACACAGAAGAACGGUUAUUACGCUACCUCAUACAUCUGAGGUUCCAGAGUUCUAAAUCUGGAAAGAUCUACCUCCAUAGAGAUGUACGGCUCCUGUUCUCUAGAAAGUCAAUGGAGGUUGAUAGCGGUGCUGCAUAUGAACUCAAAUCUUACACUGAAUCGCCAACAAACCCUCAGUUUUCACCAAGAUGUUGAUAAGGAGUGAUGAUUUAAAGUAUUUACUCAGUACCCAAGUUUGCAAGUAAAAAUUAGCAUAUAAUGGAUUGUACCAAAUUAACAAUCAGGAGAGUGGAUCCUCUCCUGUUAUCCUGGACCAGUUUUUAUGAAAGGAUUCCUGAAAUGAAAUCCAUAUAUUCCAUGUAGACUGGAAAAACUCAUGUCCUAAUCCUUUUUGUACUGUUGAAACCACUUCAUUGGACAUGUUGCAAUAGCAAAACCCCCAGUUAGAUUAGUGUUUACACAUUUUAUUUCUCAGUUAUUUAAUAUUUAAUGUUUUCCUUAAUACUCAAGUGAUGUUUGUCUCUAGUGUUCUAAUGUAGCACAAAUCCUAUAUGUAAAAUCAUACUAUGUAUUUUUGACAUUAAUGUUGAAAUCUGAAAUAUAUGCACAAGUCUUUAAUUUUGUGUGAUGUGUUAAGUGCUGUUCAUUUAAGUUAUUGAAAAUGAGAAUAAAAUGUUGAGCUUCUUUAAAAUUAACACACUAUGCAAGCAUGUGUACUUUUUAUAUCUCUCAUGUUUAGUUUUUAUAACACCAUAUCCAGGCUGCUAUCUCACAUAGUAGCCCUUUAACAUAUUGUAUUAGCAGUGCAGUGUGGACUAAGCUGCUUCACAUUCCCUUUGCAAGUUCAGAUCAUCAUGCCCAUUCAUAGUCAGGAUUCCUUAUCCCCAAAACGUUCUAUUUUUCCUUAAUCACUACUAUAGAGUCUUUACAUUAAAUUACUGUCCUAUGCUAGAUAAUUUUCUCAAAUUGUUAAAAGAAUAUGUACUUUGGAAACAAAUUAGUAUUUAUAUUGUAAAUAUAUGCAAAAA